UACGGAGGAUUCAAGCGUUAUCCGGAUUUAUUGGGUUUAAAGGGAGCGUAGACGGGGAAUCAAGUUAGUUGUGAAAUCCCUCGGCUUAACUGAGGAACUGCAACUAAAACUAAUUUUCUUGAGUGCUGGAGAGGAAAGUGGAAUUCCUAGUGUAGCGGUGAAAUGCGUAGAUAUUAGGAGGAACACCAGUGGCGAAGGCGACUUUCUGGACAGUAACUGACGUUGAGGCACGAAAGUGUGGGGAGCAAACAGG
Molecule: ribosomal RNA, 253 nt
Filed under: uncultured bacterium
Lineage: Bacteria
Description: partial 16S ribosomal RNA
Rfam family: Bacterial small subunit ribosomal RNA
Source: RNAcentral